RNAcentral lists this long non-coding RNA (1982 nucleotides) under Phaseolus vulgaris (common bean). RNAcentral describes it as "long non-coding RNA (PVUL_LNC003173)". The record is from RNAcentral. Lineage: Eukaryota; Viridiplantae; Streptophyta; Magnoliopsida; Fabales; Fabaceae.
AGCCAUCAUAUUAAUUUACUAAGAAGUUAUUCACAAUAGUUGGUCUUCUAAUCAAAUAUGUACCUUUUAAAGUUGUUCAACUGUGCAAUUCUUUCCCUUCCCUUUUAUUGUAUGCUCCAAUUUUGUGUGCUUCUGCCUAGAUACUUGAAAUUAAAUAUCCUAAGUUUUUUCUAAAUUUUGCAAUAUAGAGCACAACUUAGGUUGAUUCUUAUAGGACACAUUGAUUGUAUUCAAUCUUUAAUAUUCUUCCCAUACAAAUUAAAUUGAUUCUACAACUUAACUUUUGGAGGCUUAGGGAUUGAAAAACGUGAAACAAAAAUUGAAUCAAAUUGAAAACACAAAGAUGAAAAACAAGGAGAAAGUUCAAUUCACAGAUGUAAGAACCAAACAAUUCCUCUUAUCAUAGUUCUCUAAAGAGUCAGAUCCAAGUUUGAACAAUUAACCGAUUCAACUAAUCAAUUAAACCAGUUUAUGAAUCAAAUCAAAAUAUCAUUCAAUCUAAUCCAUAUCUAAUUGUCAAGUCAAGAUUCAAUUGAUUCCUAAUUUGAUUCUUAAAAUCAGAAACACUAUUUACAAUCACAAAAUGUAAAUCUGAAAUUAGGGAGAAGAACAAACUCAAAGCUUUCAACUAUAGGUAGAAAACUCAAUUUGGAUUGUUUGAUUUUGAUUUCGUGAAUUAAUCCUCAAGAAUUAGUUCUCCAUUUAGUUUUCCAUUGAUGAAGAACAGAAAACACAAAUGGAAGGAGAAGAGGAAGAGGCAAUUUCGGAAAGUGAGAGAAAAGGAAAUGAAGAGACAAUUUCUAAAAUUGCAAACCAAACAAAUUAUUUUGUGUCAUGUUUAGAGCACAUUUAGGUUAUUUAUUGUAAAAUCUGAAGUAAAUAUGGGCCUAAAUGUGGGCUCUAGUUUGGUCCAUAGCCCAAUUUACAAAAGCUCAAGCAAAAACAAGGAAAAGCAAAUUUGUAUGGGUUUCUUUACAAAAAUUCAACAAAUCUACCCCACCUACUACAAAUUGUAGAAACUAGCAGAGAACUCCAAAUCUAGUAAACCAUAUGUCCGUUUUGAAACCCUGGAAAUGUAGAAUCCAAUGCAACUGAAUCAUACAUCCAAAGUGUUAAAGAAACAAGACACUCAAAAUUCUAUUUCAAAACAUAAGAUUAAACAAGAAUUAUCCUAAAAGGAAAAUGAAUCAUACAUCCAAAGUGUUAAACAAGACAUUCAAAAUCUAUUUCAAAAUAUGAAAGUAAACAAGAAUUACAAUCAAAUUAAAUCAUGGAUUAAGAAUGGUAAAAUUCUGACAAGUAUGUCUAUCACUCUUUCUCUCCAAGUGUUUAAGAAUUUGUUUACACUCAAAGGUACAUCAUGAAAGUAAGCAUUACCAUAGGUUUGACAAGCCCCUCAUUUAUACUAUUUGAAACACAUGUAACUAAAGAUCAAAAAGACUUUUAUUUAGCUUGUAAUGUGGCAAAGGUAAAGGUGCUAAAAGAAGGGAUACAAAGAUAUAAACCAAAGAGAAAAGAGAAGCAAUGGGGAAUGGGUUAAAAUAUAAGUAGAAAGCUACCUAUCAUUGAGCUAAAAUCCAACAUUAAUUCUUUAUUUCUCUUCUUUUCUUUUUCAUCCAAUUUUCUUUGCUAUUUCAUCAAACCACAAAUACUUGUUUUCUUUUCUUUUUUUUCCAUGCUUUUGUUUCAUACUACUUUCAAUCAACUUACAAUGCAUCAAAACCUAAGUAUUCGUCAAAUCAACUAAAAGCUCAAGCUAAUACCUCCACACUUAUUUUUAACCAAUUCUCAAAACAAUUCUAAAGCUCCUUUAAUCCCUAAGGUUGGGCAUGCCAUGGUUUUUCACUUUCAAGGCUUGUAAUGAACUACGAAAAUCAUGAAGAAAAAAUUUAAUAAGACUCAAAGGGGUAUACAAGUGGAAUUAAUGCAAGGUAUGUCAAUUUGGCUAAGUAGCUGAAAAUCAAAGAAGUCCUAAAUCAUAU